Molecule: ribosomal RNA, 253 nt
Filed under: uncultured bacterium
Lineage: Bacteria
Description: partial 16S ribosomal RNA
Rfam family: Bacterial small subunit ribosomal RNA
Source: RNAcentral
UACGUAGGUGGCAAGCGUUAUCCGGAUUUAUUGGGCGUAAAGGGAACGCAGGCGGUCCUUUAAGUCUGAUGUGAAAGCCUUCGGCUUAACCGGAGUAGUGCAUUGGAAACUGGGAGACUUGAGUGCAGAAGAGGAGAGUGGAACUCCAUGUGUAGCGGUGAAAUGCGUAGAUAUAUGGAAGAACACCAGUGGCGAAAGCGGCUCUCUGGUCUGUAACUGACGCUGAGGUUCGAAAGCGUGGGUAGCAAACAGG